Motacilla alba alba is the source of this 8490-nucleotide long non-coding RNA. RefSeq lists it as uncharacterized. Lineage: Eukaryota; Metazoa; Chordata; Aves; Passeriformes; Motacillidae. The transcript has 3 exons. The record is from RefSeq and is a predicted model, not a curated record.
GUUUUCAAACUUGUUCAGUUCAAUAUCCACUGCUCAAACCAGCAAGGACUCUGAUUCUGGGCAGUUAAUCAACACUUUCACACACAGAAAUGGGUUCAAGGUUUGCUUAAUUUGGAUCAUAUUUCUGGUCAAGUUAAUAAUGACAAAGAAAAUAAGAAACAUACAAGAAGGUAAUUUUUGCAUUUCUGGAUGGAAGAGGGUGCCAUGUUGUCUAUAACCCAUAAUUUAAAUCUAUCUCAGCUAGAUCACAUUACACUAAAAUAAAAGGCUGCAACAUCUUUUCUCUUAUGGGGCCUACUUGAAUGUAUUUAUUUGUUUAUUUAUCUAUUUAUUUAUGUAUUUUAAAUGUCUUUUUAAAGAUUUAGUACAUGGGUGCCAUAUAAUAAAUUAAGUAGAGAGGAUUUAUUUAGCUUCACACAGCUGGCCAUAGCCACUCUUGACAAACAAAGUUUUUAAUCUGUCCUUCAUAAAAAAUCCUAUUAAAGCAAUCAACUGCAGGCAUUGGUGAGAGUAUUUAGGAAAACACCAAUAUAUCAGAAUGUUUCUGAUCCUUGAGGGCUACUUUUUAUUAAAUGAUUCUUCCCUGGACUGUCCAUCUCUGACUGAGAUGUGAUUUUUACGAGAAGUACUCCUAAGGAAACAAGGGAAAUCAAAUGAUCCUAUAAUUUUUCUGCUGAGCCUGUAUCUACUCUGGAACCUUUCCUAUUACAUAUGACUUUCUCUAAAAGUUUCAGAGGCAGAAAUCAAUAGCCUCCUUCUUUAAAAUCUUGAUGAUGUUAUGAUUACUAAAAUACUAUUGUUAAGUGGAGUGAACAUUUUCUGGUUUACAUAGUGGGGCCUAAAAACUGAUGAAAGAUGAGCUAUUUGGCUGCCUUUGAAAUGUUGCUUUCAAACCAAAUUAUCACCCCAUACCUAACUAUUAUGCAAGUGUCUCUUUAAAUUACUUUGUCUAAAAAGAAAGGUUAUUUUUUAAACUCCAGUAUUGCUGUCAUUCAAGGAAUACAGAAUAUCAUUUUUUGAUAGCUGUGAGCAUACACAGAUAAAAUAAUUAUCUAUUACAACUCUCUUCAAGCCAGUAAGAUGGAGAAGUUCAUCUGGUUUUACGCUUUGCAAAAGCAGAAUUCAUAUGAAUCCCAAAAAUCAGAGAAAGACCACUGUCAUCAGGUGAGAACUAUGCUCUGUUCUACUUUUUCUAGUGCUCCAUCUAUUUAUUUUCAUACACUUGGUAAAACCUCAUAAUGGGGAAUACUGGUGAACUGUGCUGUGUAGUUGUGGUAAGGCUUACUGGAAAAAAAAACUGUGUGGGAUUUUUAAAGCUGAGGAAAGAGAAGGAAGAGUGAUCAUCAAAAUUAAUGUUUUAGAGGGAGAUUAGUAGCUCAGAAAAGCCAUUAAUUGUUUUUUAAAGCAUACUCUACCAUUAAUACAGUUAGAAAUAUUAAUUAUUUCCAAUUAUUAGGUAAGACAUUGAGAGUUCAAUUUUAUUUAUUUUUUUUAUUACUAAGGAACUUGUAAAGUAACCCUUGUGCAUCUGGCAGGUUUUGAAGUGAAGAAAUUGAAUGAAGUUUGCAUGACAGAAUAUAAAACAUUACCAGGUUUCUGCCUGUUGUAAGGUAGUGCAGGUGGUCAACACCAAAGUUAUUAUGCCUGCUGGAAUAUGCUGCUGGAUUUCAUCAUGGCUACACUUCAUUGCCCACAGUAUGUUGGAAGCUCACAUUAAGGACUGGAAAAAAACCUGUGCUCCUAAUGCAGAGAGAAUAUCAGAUCAGUGUUAUAUCAGGAACACAAGGACUGCUCCUCCAGGUAUCUCUACAUCUGAGGCGGGAGAUCUUGAAUCACAUGAGAAUUUCCAUCUUCUAUCUAGCCUCAGCAGCAGUCCUGCCACAGCUAGAAGAAGGUUCUUCACUUGUGUCUGCAGCAGUACAAAAAUGCACUGGUUAAUGAACUUCUCAUUUCCCUGAAAAGUGUACUCUCCAGCCACAAACAGACAGUUUCCUCCAGGGAACAACACAUGCAACUUCUUGAAUUGAUAGAAAAUAUCUGAUAAAAUGAUAAUUUUAUUAUUGUACUAAUCAUGCCUAAUUCUUAACCAAUACUUUAGAUGCCUAAAUGGCUUCUGCCCUAUAAUUUAUGUUGUUUUUUCAGAGGAAGUGGUUUUCUAGGUACCAUUUGCAUAAAUACGCUCUUUUUUAUUAUCAGAAUAAUUUCCUGCUUUUUGAGAAAGCAAGAUCUUCAGAGAUGAGCAUAUAAGAUAAUAGUAUUGGUAUGAAAAUAUGAGCUCUACAAUUAAAAAAAGAAAUACUUUGCUUUCUUAUGAAAAGUCCAUCUGAACCUCAGUGAAUCUUUUAAGUUCAUAGUUAAAUUAUGAAGUGCUCUGUAUGUUAGCUAAAUAUUUAUGUCCUACAUUACUACAAAAAGAAGUUCUGGCCUCCUCUGGACCAAUAGCCAUGUGUUUCCAUUGAGGAUAAGAUUUUACCUGCAGCUGGAAAUAAGAACUGGUUCAGAGAAUCUGGUUUAACCAUUAUACUCCUCAUCACAUUGACCUGCUGACAGAAAGCUUGCAUCACACACAGCCUUUUUUUUUUUUAAUACAUUAUACUUAUUCAGAAGACAAAAGAAACCCUCUGUUCAAGUCUUCUCAUGGUUAAACAGCUGUAAAGCUGUUAUGCUGGGCACCAGCCAGCUCUUCAGAGAAUUGACAGGCAACUAGAGGGCCCUUCUCAUACUCGAACUCACCUCACUGGGUACAAGAUCACACAAGUCUUGCUCAGGGGCAAGAUGUUAUCUGGCCUAGGAUUUAAGGUUGAAUGCAAACCCAAAAAUAAGGAAAAAAAAAAAGAUCUAAGCACCUACCUGUGGAAAGGCUGACAUUUUGGUAACUACAUCCAAAAUAGAGCUCCUGAAAGCCCCUUUUCAAAUGCCAUAUAAGCAUAAAAGGCACCUAGUUUUCACAGUUUUUGCACUUUGUGGCCUAAAAGUUUCCAAAGAGCUUAACUUGUGCUCAAUUGCAGAAGAGCUCAUGCUCUGACAUGGUUGAACACUGCACCGUUGAUCCCUGCACUGUAAAGUUCUCACUGAAGACCCAGCUGCCUUCCUUCACUGAAUUCCCCUCGGGGUCUUCCUGACUUGCUAAGCAUCAUCAGGGUAGAGCUUAUGCAUGCAGACCAGAUCAGAUCCCCAGAAAACAUGGAGUGCUGUCACAGCUACUGAAUUUGAAAGAGGACACAGUGCAAUUAAACCACUGAUGUAAAACAUAGGGGCUUCCCCAGGAAGUGGGAAAUGAAAGUUAAUUCCUCCCCUUGCCAAAGGGAUUUCUUUCUUCUUAAGUUGGUGGUCAGAGGUAAUAGGCUAUGCAUAAAAUAACUAAGGUUCUUUGAGCCAGAAAGAAGCCAGAAAAGUCAGCAUGACUCCUCUGAGAAUGACACAUCCUUUUUGACUUGGCUAUUUAGUAACUAACCAACUGUGCUUUCUGUUUAAAAUUCUCUGAAUCCUAAAUUCUUUUCUGAAAAGUGACAAAACAAGUUUCAACAAGCAUGUGGAAUUUAGCUUUCCUCCCCCAGCUGCCAAUGUUACCUGGAGCUCUGUGGUUAUUUCAUUUGCCUGAGGAAAAACUAGGAGGAAUUGAACUAUUCCUGGAAGCUGAAAAGAGACUCAAACUCAGGCUGUGCCCUAUCCAGAAGCCAUUUACUAAGUGGCUGUGGCUGGUAUCUGCUUCAGGUUGAACACAAAUUUUCAAAGAUUGUCAUCCAUAACCUGAUCUCUGUGAUGAGAACAAGCAUUAUACAUGUCAGUGUCCCUCGUGAAAAACCCAGGAUAUAUUUUACAUAGAAGGUAUGAACACAGAAAUUCAGUAUUUCUUGUCAUUUCUAUCUUCUUGAAUUACCCAGUCUCUUUCAAACACGUUCCCAUGUGCAGCUCACAAAUACAACCUCUGCUCAAUUAUGCAACAAAGAGACAGAUGAGGUAAUAGCUGAUACAACAUUGUCAGACAUGGAGAAAUCACUUCUGGUCUGAAGGACCAUGGAAUCACAGAAUGAAUUGGGUUGGAAAGGACUCAAAGAUCAUCUGUUUCCAGCUGCCCUGCCAUGGGUAGGAAUGCCAUCCACUAGAUCUGGUUGCUCAAGGACCCUUCCAACCUGGCUUUGAGCACUUCCAGGGAUGGGACAUCCACCACCUCUCUGGGCAGCCUGCUCCAAGGAUGAGACAUUUCAGCACGGUCACUUGCCAGCUUUGAUAUCUACACCCUGUCUACCUCAGAAACACACAGGCUUGAUGCUUCUUCUACUUUUUGGUCAGAGAUUAUAUGAUUUAGUCUCAUCCUUCUGGCUCUUGUGUGGUCUAUUUAUCCCUCCACAAAAGAAAAUUGAAGGGAUUAACCAGCCUUUCAAUGUGAAAAGAGGUAAAGACUCAAUAAAGAUUUACAUCAUCUCUUAGUGGCAUAACACACAUUUUAAUGAGUUUUUGCUUGACAUGCAAGGCCAGUACAAUAUGAAAGAUUGCUAAUGAAUACAAUAAAGCCUAACAUUAAGCUUUUGACUUCAUCCAGGAACAGCAUAUAAUGCAAAGCUGAGGUCAAAAAUCAACACCUAAAUCUUUGUGCUAUGGUAUUUUUCAUGUCAAUGUGAUCCAAAUUUGUUUUCUAUUUAUAUUUCUUGGACUUUAUCAAUUUAAGACAGUAGUUUGAGAUUUAUUUAAGUAUAGGAUGUUAGAUAUAAUUUGCAUCUAUUAGUGCAAGCUAGACCUUUUGCUGCCCUCAUGGGUGUAUGAAUGUCAAAGAGACUCAGCAUUCCAGGAAUACCAUAAUGAACUAAAUAUGAAGUCAAACUCACGGGGAAAAAACCCACAUCAAAGGUGAAGUAUGUUUUCAAUCAAUCUCUUCAGAUGAUUCAGCUAGGAACAUCAAGAUUGUAUAAUGACCUGCAGACCUGAUUCCCAUGCACAGCUCUAUGGAGUAAACCAACAGCAAAUGAACUGUGAAAACCAUUAUUUUCACUGAGAGCCUAAGUAACAUUUAUUUGAAACUUUUUCUGUUUCAAUGACAUUUUAUUUUAAAGAGACACUAAAAACACAACAUAAUUUGGCAUUAGCCUUUCCUGGCACAGAAGGGAAUCCAAAUCUGACCUCAUUUGUACUUCUAAUCAAAAUUACCUUCACAUCACACCUUUAAAAAAAAUUCAAAAUCCCCUGUAUUCAAACUAUGGCUGGAUUGAUUUCUUCUCUAUUGAUUUAAAGUUCUACAAUGCAUAAAAAUGCCAAAAGUGUGCAUGUUUGUAAAUUUAUAUAUUUAGGUGCAUAAAGAGAUGCAUAUAUGUAGAGACAUGUAUCUUUGCAUACAUACAUAUAUAUAUGCAUAUGUAUAGAUGCAUCUGUUUGCAUAUAAACAUAUGAACACUUGUACAUUUUAAUGCAUUUAAUAUAAGAAUCAUGGAGAAAUUUCUUGGCAGCACUGACGCAGCUCCUCCUCUUUUACAGGGAACAUUGCAUUCUAACAAAGAAUUCUUAUAAUUGCUUUAAAAAACUACAUGUGGCUCAACUCCAUGCAGCUACACACUCUACGGAGCUGUGUGAAAUCUCCUUAGGAAACCCCAAAUCAGUUAAAGCUCACCUAGUCAGAGGCUUUUUAAUAGCCUGACAUUCACCUUUGGGUCAUUACAAUGACUGUGUGAUCUUUUAAUGGAUGAAGUAACUGUACAUCUAAAGAUUUUUUGUUUUGAAAGAGAUGCUACAGAAAGAAGUUUUAAAUAAAUGACACUGAAACUAGAAAAGGCCAUGAAAAAAUGCUUGUUUAUUCAGAACAAAACCAGAAAAUUCAGUUUGAUAGUACUUGCUAUUGCUUUUAUCUUUCUGCCAAUAUUUAUUUGCUUAGCCUGUCAGUAAGGGUUGACUCAUGGACUGUGUAUGUACAAGUGUUUGUGCUGCACCAGUUCAUGAGCUUGCCUUGGGAGCUGAUGUUGGCAUGGGAAUUUAUCCAACAAGGAAACAGAAAUGGUGUCACAUAUGAAAGAGAUGACCAAAGGCUUAGACAUGUAGAACAAAAUACAUAUAGUGAAAAUCUCAGGACUGUCAAUAUUUUUGAAUUUGGAACUUCUGCUUAUUACUGCAACAGGGUUGUGCUGAGCAUGGCACAGAGACAGGAUGCCCACAGGCACAUGUGAACAACUCACCAUCAACCUUUGACUGAAGUUACUCAUUGGAUGAGUAACUUCAAAGGCUGCACACACUAUAACAUUCAGAACAUAUUUGUAUGUAUCUCAAAAACAGUUACAUUUGCUGGAUAAACCAUUUUCUAUUAAAACAGAUCACUCAGUAUAAGAUGGCAUUAAAACAAUCUGGACAACUUUGUCUAAGUUUUCAUGUGUUUUCCCCUUCAACUUACUCUGAAGUCUAAAAUUCACAGCCAAAAGGAAGUACAGGGAAAGGUUUAGCUCUGUAUUAAGACAAAAGAUGACACAAUUACACAAAUAGAACUCCAGGUGACAUUAUUUGUCAAUUUGUGACUAAUUUUCAGUGCUCACCAAGGUGCUUGGCUGAACUAGUUACACAUCACAGUGUGACUGACCUCACUUUAAGAGCGCAUUUAACUAGGGGUAAAUGGAAAAUUAAUAACAGGGAUAAUCAAAUAUCAGACUUGGUAAAUUUAGGAGGAACAUAAAUUUAAAGGAUUGUAUACAGCAUAUUAACACCAAAAUAAUUUUAUAGCACAUAAAGCAACUCCUUUAAUGAAAAACAAAUACUAAUGCAACAUUCUGCAUUCCUUUCCCACUUUGCUCAGCUGAAUGUUCAAGUUAAUGUUCAACAUAUUUAAUAUUUACAUACCUCACUGGAUUAGAUUGUUUAUUUUGCUAGUUUUACCAUAUGUUCAAAAUGCUAUGCAAACAGUGAUGACCAAAUGCUGGUCAGAAGAAGUUGUAUCACAGAUUGAAAACACUACAUCCUGUUUUAGACCAUGCAUGUGCACUAGAUGAAGGUUUAAGAUCUCUUUCAGCUCAGUGAUUCAAAACUUCAGGUCAUGCUUGAUGAUCAUAGUCUGAUGGCUAUAAAGAACAGACACAAGAAGCUGCUUUCAUCAACAGCCUCUUUUACUUGUGCCUUGUAGUGGUUUAUUCAAAAAAAUAAAAUCUGCCACUGACCAGGAAAUCAUAUCUGAAACCUCAAAAGCCAGAGUAAUAAUGAAUAUUUAGGUUGAGUCUGCUCUUUGAUUUUCUUUUCAGUUGGAAUGAUUGAUAAAUAUCCCUCUAGCAAGUAAUAAUUCUUGACUGAUGGAUUACUUCCUUCUUAGACAUUUUGAAUCAAACCAACACAGACAUUUUGAUCGCACUUCAUUCUUUUACAUUAAUGCAGCAUAAAAUCCUCCCACUGGUACAUAUGUGUCAGAUGGAAACAUUAUCUUGAAUUCAUAAAUAUUUAUUGAUAACAAAUCUUAUAUGAAGUUUCCUGGAUUGCCAACAAAAAUGUAAAUACAAUAGAUUUAUCUUCUUCAAGAACUCUAAAUACUGAUUAUGCUAAUUUAUUUGGAACAGAUAAGGGCCUUGAAAAGAUGGACAUCAGGCCUGUUGGCUUUUAUUUUUACAGAUCCCCAAAGAAUGCUCUGUAGUUUAAAAUGUAAACAGAAAUGGGUUUGCCUCAAGCUAGUUUUUAUCUAAUAUUAAAUGCAACUUGUUGGUGCCAAGUAUUACAAGGGAAAACAGGAUGAAUGUUACAAGAAGAUCAUGAAGAAGGUCAUCAUAAUUGUGCGCCCCAGGCUUCUGCACAGGAGAGCUUUCAAGGGGUACAAGUUUUAAAGGCACUAGGGCAGAUCCAAAGCGAACAUAAAGAUGCCUGGUCCUUUUGAAGUCAGCAGAGGCAGCCUGAUUUGCACUGCAGAGACUCCUGUCUCUGAACAGGUAAGCCAGCAAUUCCAUGACGACUAGUUAACGAGCUGUCAAAGCCUAAACACCAGUUAUCCACUCCUCUGCUUCCAGGAAAGUGACAUACAGCCAGAACUAUCUGUGUAGCAUUUAAGCAUCUGCCACAGAUGGGGAAUUUAGCACACUCGCUGAAAUUAUUCCAGGAAUCCCUAAACCAUAUUUGAGCAUCAGUAAGAGUAUAGAGGAAUGCACAGUUAUCAAGAAUGCCAUCUAGUGUACCCUCCAGCAACACUCCACCAUAACAAACUCUCUGCUCACCAAAAGAAACUGAAAUGAUGAUGAACUGUAUAUCACACUAGAUUGUGAUAGAUGGGGCCAUUAAUAGCAACCUGAGAAGAGUCACAUGGCUGGAUCUAAUGGAAAUCACAUGGCUUUUCAAAGCAGCUUGGAGUGUUUUGUUCUAUAGGAUGGCACAAGAUUCUCUGUAUAUGAUUAUAUAAAAUUAUUCUAGUCUCCUCCAGCCUGUCUCACUAAUCUUUCAUUAGGAUGCCUUGUGGCAAGCCUAUAACCAGAGCCUAUAACCUCCCUUUUCUGUCUCUGAAUCAUUGUGAAUGUAGGAAAGAGGAAAUUUUGUGAAGCAAGUCCC